UAGGGAAUCUUCCGCAAUGGACGAAAGUCUGACGGAGCAACGCCGCGUGAGUGAAGAAGGAUUUCGGUUCGUAAAACUCUGUUGUUAGGGAAGAAAAAAUGUAUAGUAACUAUAUACAAAAGAGACGGUACCUAACCAGAAAGCCCCGGCUAACUUCGUGCCAGCAGCCGCGGUAAUACGAAGGGGGCUAGCGUUGUUCGGAUUUACUGGGCGUAAAGCGCACGUAGGCGGACUAUUAAGUCAGGGGUGAAAUCCCGGGGCUCAACCCCGGAACUGCCUUUGAUACUGGUAGUCUUGAGUUCGAGAGAGGUGAGUGGAAUUCCGAGUGUAGAGGUGAAAUUCGUAGAUAUUCGGAGGAACACCAGUGGCGAAGGCGGCUCACUGGCUCGAUACUGACGCUGAGGUGCGAAAGCGUGGGGAGCAAACAGG
Molecule: ribosomal RNA, 429 nt
Filed under: Verrucomicrobiota bacterium
Lineage: Bacteria; Pseudomonadati; Verrucomicrobiota
Description: Verrucomicrobia bacterium partial 16S ribosomal RNA
Rfam family: Bacterial small subunit ribosomal RNA
Source: RNAcentral